CAAUGCUGUCUUACUUUAGGAUUUCCAGACACAGAAAAAAUACCAUUAUUCCAGACAUGAAGGGCAGUGAUACAGUGUUUUUUAUUACAGGCUUCUAGGACUGCCAAGGCUGAUAUCAUCUGUGUCUGACAGAAGGAAUCUUCCAUGAUGAUCUGUCCUUCUGUGACAGAAGGAAUCUCCCUCUCUGAGGGAAUGUGAUGCUGUUAUAUUAGUCUGCUGGAGCUGCCAUAACAAAACACCUUCAACUGCGCGGCUUACACAACAGAAAUUCAUUGUCUCAUGAAUCUGGAGGAGAGAAGUUCAAGAUCAACGUUCUGUGGUUCAAAGUAUAGACCCCGCUAUCAGGAUGCCUGGACUCAAAUCCUAGCUCUGCUCCUUACUCUCUGGGUGACCACAAAGAGAGACACAACGAGAGAUGGAACACAAGCAGGGGGAGUGGAAGAGGGAGAAGCAGCCUUUCCGCCAAGCAGGGAGCCCAAUGCGGGGCUCGAUCCCAGCAUGGUCUGAG
Long non-coding RNA from Mustela lutreola (European mink), 508 nucleotides. RefSeq lists it as uncharacterized. The record is from RefSeq and is a predicted model, not a curated record. NCBI's taxonomy places the organism in Eukaryota, Metazoa, Chordata, Mammalia, Carnivora, Mustelidae. The transcript has 3 exons.